Molecule: non-coding RNA, 2557 nt
Organism: Cyanistes caeruleus (blue tit)
Lineage: Eukaryota; Metazoa; Chordata; Aves; Passeriformes; Paridae
Source: RefSeq, a predicted model, not a curated record
GAAACUAAGGAAAUUAUUGCCUGCCUAUUCAUCUUUUGCAAAGAAUGUCAGGAAGAUUGUAGAUGUCACUGCAAGUCUGAUAAGCAUCUGGGCGGGGUUGGCGCUUGGUUUCACAGUGCCCUGCCUUUAGAGAGCUCAUGAUGAUCCCUAAUAUCUCCCAUGUCCUUCCUGCUCUCCUGAGUGCCAUAGCCCAGAAUCCCUUCUACAAAUCCUGUCACCACCUCAGGCAGGAGACAGGUGCACAGCACUUGCUGUGACAAAGGGAAAGUACCACUUCAAGGUGUCUGGUUCUCCACUGCUGUCUUGGAUGACACUCAUACGACUGGAAUUCCCACAUUUUCUCACAGACCUGCUGGAACCUCAUAAAUUCAGCUCUAAUUCAAGAAAGGAAACAUUUUUCUUUCCUUGAUGGAUGGGAGGAAGGAGAUUGCCAAGGAAAGCCAAAUGUCAGGGGCAGGAAAGGAAGUCUGUAAUUGGAGCUGGAAGCAAGAAGUUCUGCCAAUGGUGAGACAGAAUUGGUCCAACAGUGAAACAUGAAGAACAGAAGGCUUUUACCUGUUGCAAAAGAUAUCUGAGAACCAGAGAUAAAAUAAGGUUGCUCAUCCGAGUGGCUCUCACUUCAAGAGGCCCUACACUGGGAAUGGCAGAUUCUUCCCUGGAACUCUCAACCAUCCCUCGGCAGACCAUGAUUUUGAGUAACCACCAUUUCAGCAUAAAUUAGUCUGUUCACUGUACACAUUGGCAAACAUUCCCAGGAUGUCAGCACUGGAAAUGCUGUCCACUACCACCAUCAGAUCCUGAGAACAGGAAUUCAAGUGCUUACAGGACCCUGGGGCCUUGCUAUACAUUCAGACUGCACAUGCAGUGAAGGAGAAUAUACAGCAAAUGCAAAGUGAGAAGUCCUUCCUGAACGUAUGCUGGACAGGUGUAGCUGUGCUGGAUCAACAGCAGAAGUUGGAACCCCCUGUCAGGUGUGCCACAGAGCUGCUCAUGACAUAGUAAGAGGAAGGAAAGUUUAACUGAGAUUUCAUUUUCCUUCCUGCUAUUAUUUGUUCUCUGUCUUGUUGUAUUGGUGUCAUCACACUGAGUGUGUGCUGUUACGGCAGAUACCAUUUGGGCAGGAAUUCUGAGUUCUAGACCUCUGGAAAUCCCAGCAUGAGCUAAAUGUUUCAGCUUUCAAAACAGUGAAUGAUUGAACCCAUUUGUUCCCAUUUGAGUUCCCAGAAAUAUCUUGAGUGAGCACUGGAACAGAUUCACAGGACAGGCUCAAAUACCACUUUCACAGCCAUUCUGGUUGCUCCUUUGCAAUGUCUCUGAGUAAGUCCCCUGUGAAUUCAUGCUGGUUUUUCUAUGUGAUCAGCACCAAUCCCAUCUCUGGGGAUCUUUAUAUUCACAGCCAGGCCUUUCUUUCUAUUGUUAGUUGGUAAGGCUUCCUUCUCUGAGGCUGUCAUCUGUAUGUGACUGUAAGCCAUCACAAGAUGGCUCUGAGGGAAGAAACAGUAAUGUUUGGACUCGGGGUGAAGACAAUUGUCAAUAAGGAACCUGUUAAUGAUACUCAGCUUGCCUAAUAAAGGUUAUCCCAAGCAAAGGAGGUUUUGGGCUCUUUUAGCUGGGAAUCAUGCUUCUGCAAGACUCUUCCCUCAAGCCCAGAUCUUGGCAGGAAAAUGUGUGCUGUACAUAAGGAUUUUGAGUUGUGCAGGUGUUCCUUGCCCUCUCUGAAAAGCCAGUGGUGGCAGGCCUAAAGCUUGAGCCACAUCAUAAAUUUGGAAAUGUGUCUGUUCUGAAAUAAACCAGCACCCCACAAUCCCUGUGGCUGCUUUAUCUGUGCUAGCUGGGGUAAAGCUCAUGUACCAGAGAGAAAAAGGGAAAGGAAAAAUCCUCAGCUAACUCUCACUUCCCUGGAAGUUUCAAAAUACCUAAGGAAAUGUGUCAGUGUGGGAUCAGCAGUAGCUUUUACCCUGCUGCCCCUCUCCAGCCUUGCAACUGUACCCUGGAUGAAAGAAGAGGUGCCAUGCCUUGGACAACACUGCAGCAAGAAUCCUGCUGCACCUGCCAGUCGUUCACUGCAGUCCUGGAACUGCCAACAGCAACACUGUAUCUGGAAAAGACUGCUUUGAAACACGUAUGAAAAUGUCUCAGCUUAUUUAAAUGGCAUUGUAGGAAGCGGAAAUAAAGUGUAACCAAGACUGGAACAGUCAGUGUGAGACUGAUCCUCUGCUCUCUAAACCAACCAGGAAAGUACCUCAAACACCAGGAACAAGAAAGGAAGGCAGAGAGAAAGGACGAUUAUUCUUCUCCCUGCCAAACCCAGGACAGUGCAAUGGGAAGGGCACUCCAGUUCUGAGAAGAUUCAGCAACUGGUCAGGGGACAAGGGACAGAAACAUCCAUACACAUGGAUGCAUGCCCUCAUGCACACAGGAAUGACUGGUAUAUAAGGAAGGAGUCAGAUCCAGGAGCCUUUUGUACAAACGAGCUGCAGCAUGAGCAACACUCUGUGCUUUUCUUGGAAGGGGCUGUGAAGAACACAGCAGCCUUAACUCAGAUUGAUAAGUAGCA